UUUAAAUGUAGUUAUAGGUUUUCAUAUUUAACGUUUAACCAACUGUAUUAUUUAAUUUUUUUUAUGAUAAGUAUUUUUGUUGUUAUUAGAUGAUAAAACUUGACUCGUACUUGAUGCGUGAUUUAUUUUUUAAUUUUUUAAAAAUAAAACAGAUGGUCAAACAUUAAACACGAAUCCUCGCAACUACGAUUAAA
Oryza sativa Indica Group (long-grained rice) is the source of this 194-nucleotide microRNA precursor. It matches the Rfam family "MIR812 microRNA precursor family". The record is from Rfam. NCBI's taxonomy places the organism in Eukaryota, Viridiplantae, Streptophyta, Magnoliopsida, Poales, Poaceae.